Molecule: ribosomal RNA, 490 nt
Filed under: uncultured bacterium
Lineage: Bacteria
Description: partial 16S ribosomal RNA
Rfam family: Bacterial small subunit ribosomal RNA
Source: RNAcentral
AUUGAACGCUGGCGGCAGGCCUAACACAUGCAAGUCGAAUGGUAACAGGAAACAGCUUGCUGUUUCGCUGACGAGUGGCGGACGGGUGAGUAAUGUCUGGGAAACUGCCUGAUGGAGGGGGAUAACUACUGGAAACGGUAGCUAAUACCGCAUAACGUCGCAAGACCAAAGAGGGGGACCUUCGGGCCUCUUGCCAUCAGAUGUGCCCAGAUGGGAUUAGCUAGUAGGUGGGGUAACGGCUCACCUAGGCGACGAUCCCUAGCUGGUCUGAGAGGAUGACCAGCCACACUGGUACUGAGACACGGUCCAGACUCCUACGGGAGGCAGCAGUGGGGAAUAUUGCACAAUGGGCGCAAGCCUGAUGCAGCCAUGCCGCGUGUAUGAAGAAGGCCUUCGGGUUGUAAAGUACUUUCAGCGGGGAGGAAGGGAGUAAAGUUAAUACCUUUGCUCAUUGACGUUACCCGCAGAAGAAGCACCGGCUAACUCCGUG